CUUUUUGUAUGACAUGGACUUAUUGGGUCUGAAAUAAAGUUUGUAUACCGAUAGAUAGAUAGAUAGAUAGAUAGAUAGAUAGAUAGAUAGAUAGACAGAUAGAUAGAUAGAUAGAUAGAUAGAUAGAUAGAUAGAUAGAUAGAUAGAUAGAUAGAUAGAUAGAUAGUAAUUUCAGCAUGUAGGUAAUCUGUGUUUGAAAUAUUACCAUCUUGAUCAUGUCAUGUUGACAAUAGUUUGUUGACACAAAAGAAAUGGCUAUUGCAUAUCACUGUCACCUACACAGGACAGUCGUUA
Xyrichtys novacula (pearly razorfish) is the source of this 294-nucleotide non-coding RNA. The record is from the annotation of a GenBank genome assembly. NCBI's taxonomy places the organism in Eukaryota, Metazoa, Chordata, Actinopteri, Labriformes, Labridae.